RNAcentral lists this ribosomal RNA (1263 nucleotides) under Flavobacterium sp. EP217. Its description in RNAcentral is "bacterial SSU rRNA". It matches the Rfam family "Bacterial small subunit ribosomal RNA", at positions 66 to 1341 of the family's 1533-position model. Lineage: Bacteria; Pseudomonadati; Bacteroidota; Flavobacteriia; Flavobacteriales; Flavobacteriaceae. The record is from RNAcentral.
GGGUAUAGUUCUUCGGAACUAGAGACCGGCGCACGGGUGCGUAACGCGUAUGCAAUCUACCUUUUACAGGGGAAUAGCCCAGAGAAAUUUGGAUUAAUGCCCCAUAGUAUARUUUAUUCGCAUGAGUAGAUUAUUAAAGUUCCAACGGUAAAAGAUGAGCAUGCGUCCCAUUAGCUAGAUGGUAAGGUAACGGCUUACCAUGGCGACGAUGGGUAGGGGUCCUGAGAGGGAGAUCCCCCACACUGGUACUGAGACACGGACCAGACUCCUACGGGAGGCAGCAGUGAGGAAUAUUGGUCAAUGGACGCAAGUCUGAACCAGCCAUGCCGCGUGCAGGAUGACGGUCCUAUGGAUUGUAAACUGCUUUUGUACGAGAAGAAACACUSCUACGUGUAGSAGCUUGACGGUAUCGUAAGAAUAAGGAUCGGCUAACUCCGUGCCAGCAGCCGCGGUAAUACGGAGGAUCCAAGCGUUAUCCGGAAUCAUUGGGUUUAAAGGGUCCGUAGGCGGUUUARUAAGUCAGUGGUGAAAGCCCAUCGCUCAACGGUGGAACGGCCAUUGAUACUGYUAAACUUGAAUUAUUAGGAAGUAACUAGAAUAUGUAGUGUAGCGGUGAAAUGCUUAGAGAUUACAUGGAAUACCAAUUGCGAAGGCAGGUUACUACUAAUGGAUUGACGCUGAUGGACGAAAGCGUGGGUAGCGAACAGGAUUAGAUACCCUGGUAGUCCACGCCGUAAACGAUGGAUACUAGCUGUUGGAAGCAAUUUCAGUGGCUAAGCGAAAGUGAUAAGUAUCCCACCUGGGGAGUACGUUCGCAAGAAUGAAACUCAAAGGAAUUGACGGGGGCCCGCACAAGCGGUGGAGCAUGUGGUUUAAUUCGAUGAUACGCGAGGAACCUUACCAAGGCUUAAAUGUAGAUUGACCGGUUUGGAAACAGACUUUUCGCAAGACAAUUUACAAGGUGCUGCAUGGUUGUCGUCAGCUCGUGCCGUGAGGUGUCAGGUUAAGUCCUAUAACGAGCGCAACCCCUGUUGUUAGUUGCCAGCGAGUCAUGUCGGGAACUCUAACAAGACUGCCAGUGCAAACUGUGAGGAAGGUGGGGAUGACGUCAAAUCAUCACGGCCCUUACGCCUUGGGCUACACACGUGCUACAAUGGCCGGUACAGAGAGCAGCCACUGGGUGACCAGGAGCGAAUCUAUAAAACCGGUCACAGUUCGGAUCGGAGUCUGCAACUCGACUCCGUAAGCUGGAAUCGCUAGUCC